This 83-nucleotide transfer RNA is filed under the name Chryseobacterium sp. Its description in RNAcentral is "tRNA-Leu". It matches the Rfam family "tRNA". Rfam says of the family: Transfer RNA (tRNA) molecules are approximately 80 nucleotides in length. Their secondary structure includes four short double-helical elements and three loops (D, anti-codon, and T loops). The record is from RNAcentral. Lineage: Bacteria; Pseudomonadati; Bacteroidota; Flavobacteriia; Flavobacteriales; Weeksellaceae.
ACCUCUGUGGUGAAAUUGGUAGACGCGCUGGACUUAAGAUCCGGUUCUUAGGAGUGUGGGUUCGAGUCCCACCGGGAGUACAA